Toxocara canis (dog roundworm) is the source of this 72-nucleotide transfer RNA. It matches the Rfam family "tRNA". Rfam says of the family: Transfer RNA (tRNA) molecules are approximately 80 nucleotides in length. The record is from Rfam. NCBI's taxonomy places the organism in Eukaryota, Metazoa, Nematoda, Chromadorea, Rhabditida, Toxocaridae.
GCGGCAAUAGCUCAGUGGUAGAGUCCCCUCUUCGCAUGCGGGGAGAGCUGGGUUCGAUUCCCGGCUGCUUCC